AUGGGGGUUUGCACAGAGGGUUUUUCCCUGGUUUUUGGGGGGUUUUGGGCCUUUUUUCCCUCCCUUUUUGCCGAGAUUUUUCCCAUUUUCCUCCUUUUUUUUCCCAUUUUCCCAAUUUUCCUCCUUUUCCUUUUCCUCCUUGUCUCUUUUCCCCUUUUUUCCUUCUCUUUUCCCAUUUUUCUUCCUUUUUCCCUCCUUUUUUCCCAUUUUUCCUCUCUUUUCCUCCUCUUUUCCCAUUUUCCCUCCUUUUUUCCCCUUUUUCCUCCUUUUUUCCCAUUUUUCCUCCUUCUCCCUAUUUUUCCUCUUUUCCAUUUCCCCCUUUUUUCCUCCUCUUUUCCUUUUUCCCACUUUUUCCCUUUUCCUCCUUUUUUUCCCAUUUUUCCCCCUUUUUCCUUUCCUCCUUCUCUCUCUUUUCCCAGUUUUCUCCCUUUUCCCAGUUUUUUCCCAUUUUUCUUCCUUUUUCCCUACUUUUUUCCCAUUUUUCCUCUUCCUUUUUCCCUACUUUUUUCCCAUUUUUCCUCUCUUUUCCUCCUCUUUUCCCAUUUUUCCUUCUUCCCCAUUUUUCCUCUUUUUCUCCUUUUCAUUUCUUUUCUCUUUUCCCCUUUUUCUUCCUCUUUACCCGUUUUUCCUCCUCUUUUCCCCUUUUUCCUCCUUUCCUUUUUCCUCCUUUUUUCCCAUUUUUCCUCCUUCUCCCUAUUUUUCCUCCUCUUUUCCAUUCCCCCCUUUUUUCCUCCUCUUUUUCCCGUUUUUCCUCCUCUUUUCCUUUUUCCCACUUUUCCCCUUUUCCUCCUUUUUUUCCCAUUUUUCCUCCUUUUCCCUUUCCUCCUUCUCUCUCUUUUCCCAUUUUUUCCUUCUCUUUUCCCAUUUUUCUCCCUUUUCCCUCCUUUUUUCCCAUUUUUCUCCCUUUUUCUCUCCUUUUUUCCCAUUUUUCCUCCUUUUUUCCCAUUUUUCUUCCUUCCCUAUUUUUCCUCAUUUCCAUUUUUUCUUUCCUUUUUUUUCCUCCUCUUUUCCCAUUUUUCCUCCUCUUUUCCCAUUUUUCUUUCUUCUUCCCCAUUUUUCCUUUUUUCUCCUUUUCCUUUCUUUUCUCUUUUCCCCUUUUUUCCUCCUCUUUUUCCCAGUUUUCCUCCUUUUUUUUCCCAUUUUUCCCCCUUUUCCCUUUCAUCCUUCUCUCUCUUUUCCCCUUCUUCCUUCUCUUUUCCCAUUUUUCUUCAUUUUUCCUCCUCUUUUCCCCUUUUUCCUCCUUUUUCCUCCUUUUUUCCCAUUUUUCCUCCUUCUCCCUAUUUUUCCUCUUUUCCAUUUCCCCCCUUUUUUCCUCCUCUUUUCCUUUUUCCCACUUUUUCCCUUUUCCUCCUUUUUUUCCCAUUUUUCCCCCUUUUUCCUUUCCUCCUUUUCUCUCUCUUUUCCCAGUUUUCUCCCUUUUCCCAGUUUUUUCCCAUUUUUCUUCCUUUUUCCCUACUUUUUUCCCAUUUUUCCUCUCUUUUCCUCCUCUUUUCCCAUUUUUCCUUCUUCCCCAUUUUUCCUCUUUUUCUCCUUUUCAUUUCUUUUCUCUUUUCCCCUUUUUCCUCCUCUUUUCCCGUUUUUCCUCCUUUCCUUUUUCCUCCUUUUUUCCCACUUUUCCUCUUUUCCUUUUUCCCACUUUUUCCCUUUUCCUCCUCUUUUUUCCCAUUUUCCCUCUUUUUUUCCCAUUUUUCCUCUUUUCCAUUUUCUUUUUUCUUUUCCCUUUUUUUCCUCCUUUUUUCCCAUUUUUCCUCCUUCUCCCUAUUUUUCCUCCUCUUUUCCAUUUCCCCCUUUUUUCCUCCUCUUUUUCCCACUUUUCCUCCUCUUUUCCUUUUUCCCACUUUUUCCCAUUUUCCUCCUCUUUUUCCCAUUUUUCCUCCUUUUCCCUUUCCUUCUUCUCUCUCUUUUCCCAUUUUUCCUCUCUUUUCCUAUUUUUCUCCCUUUUUCCUCCUUUUUUCCCAUUUUUCCUCCUUUCCUAUUUUUCCUCUUUUCCAUUUUCUUUUCCCCUUUUUUUCUCCUCUUUUCCCAUUUUCCCUCUUUUCCAUUUUCUUUUUUCUUUUCCCCUUUUUCCUCUUUUCCCAUUUUUCCUUUUUUUCCCAACUCUUUUCCUUCUUUUCCCAGUUUUCCUCUUCCUUUUUCCCCUUUCUUCUCCUUUUCCUUCCAUUUUCCCUCAUUUCCUUCUUUUUUCCUUUUUUCCUCCUUUUUUCCCUUUUCCUUUUUCCCUCUUCCUCCUUUUCCCCAUUUUCUCUCCCUUUUUUCCUCUUUUUUCCCCAUUUUCUCCCCUUUUUUCCCCAUUUUCUCCCCCUUUUUCCCCCAUUUUUCCUCCAUUUCCUUCAUUUUCCUCCUUUUCCACAACAUUUUUUCCCAUUUUCCUCUUUUUUAUCUCAUUUUUCACUCUGUCCCCACUUCCUCUUCCUUCCACUUCCUCCUUUUCCUUCUUUUUCCCCCUUUUCCUCAACCUUUUAUUCCCAGUUUUUCCCCAUUUUUUCCCGAUUUUCCCACAUUUUCUCAAUGUUUUCCCCCCUUUUCCCCCAUUUUUUCCCAUUUUCCCUCUUUUCUCCCUUUUCCUCAACCUUUUUUCCCAUUUUUUCCCCAUUUCCUCAACCUUUUCCCCCUUUUUUUUCAAUUUUCCCUCAUUUUCCCACAUUUCCCCAACCUUUUAUUCCCAUUUUUCCCAUUUCCCCCCCUUUUUCUCAACCUUUUAUUCCCAUUUCCCCCCAUUUUUUCCCUCUUUUCCUCCUUUCCCCCUUUUUCCUUCUUUUCCCCUUUUCCUUAACCUUUUAUUCCCAUUUUUCCCCCAUUUCCUCAACCUUUUAUUCCCAUUUUUUCCCCAUUUUUUCUCCCUUUUUUUCCCCCUUUUCCCCCAUUUUCCCCCAUUUCCACAAGCUUUUAUUCCCAUUUUCCCCAUUUUCCUUAAUAUUUUAUUCCCAUUUUUUCCUCAACCUUUUAUUCCCAUUUUCCCCCAUUUUUCCCCAUUUCCGCAACCUUUUUUCCCUUUUUUUCCCCAUUUUCCCCCCUUUUUUCCCCAUUUUCCCCCUUUUCCUUCCAAUUCCCAUUUUUCCUUCUUUUCCCCUUUUCCUUAACCUUUCAUUCCCAUUUUUUCCCAUUUUCUUCAAACUUUUAUUCCCAUUUUUCCCCUUUUCCCCCUUUUUUCCCAUUUUCCCACAUUUCCUCAACCUUUUAUUCCCAUUUUUCCCCAUUUUCCCCCUUUUUUCCCAUUUUCCUCCUUUUCCCACAUUUCCUCAACUUUUAUUCCCAUUUUCCCCAUUUUUUCCCCAUUUCCUCAACCUUUUAUUCCCAUUUUUCCCAUUUUUUCCCAUUUUCUUCAACCUUUUAUUCCCAUUUUUACCCCUUUUCCCCCUUUUUUCCCCAUUUUCCCACAUUUCCACAACGUUUUAUUCCCAAUUUUCCCCAUUUUUCCCAUUUUCCUUCAUUUUCCCACUUUUCCUCAACUUUUAUUCCCAUUUUUUCCCAUUUUUUCCCCAUUUCCUCAACCUUUUCUCCCUUUUUUCCCCAUUUUUCCCACUUUUCUUCAACCUUUUAUUCCCUUUUUCCCAUUUUCUUCCUUUUUUCCCAUUUUUCCCCAUUUUUCCCCAUUUUCUUCAACCUUUUAUUCCCAUUUUUCCCCCAUUUUUCCCCCUUUUUUCCCCAUUUUUCCCAUUUUUCCUAAACCUUUUAUUCCCAUUUUUCCCCAUUUUUACCCCUUUUCCCCCUUUUUUCCCCAUUUUCCCACAUUUCCACAACCUUUUAUUCCAAAUUUUCCCCAUUUUUCCCAUUUUCCUUCAUUUUCCCACUUUUCCUCAAUCUUUUAUUCCCAUUUUUUCCCAUUUUCCCCAUUUUCCCCCAUUUUUCCCCCUUUUUUCCCCAUUUUUCCCACUUUUCUUCAACCUUUUAUUCCCAUUUUUCCCCCUUUUUUCCCCUUUUCCCCAUUUCCUCAACCUUUUAUUCCCAUUUUUCCCUCUUUUCCCCCUUUUAUUCCCAUUUUCACCCAUUUUUUCCCCAUUUCCUCAACCUUUUCUCCCUUUUUUCCCCAUUUUCCCCCUUUUUUCCCCAUUUUUCCCACUUUUCUUCAACCUUUUAUUCCCCUUUUUUCCCAUUUUCUCCCUUUUUUCCCAUUUUUCCCCAUUUUCCCCCAUUUCCUCAACCUUUUAUUCCCAUUUUUCCCCCAUUUUUCCCCAUUUUUCCCCAUUUUUCCCCAUUUUUCCCCAUUUCCUCAAACUUUUAUUCCCAUUUUUUUCCCUUUUCCCCCUUUUUUCCCAUUUUCACUCCUUUUCCCACUUUUCCUCAACCUUUUAUUAUUUUUCCCCAUUUUUCCCCAUUUCCUCAAACUUUUAUUCCCAUUUUUUUCCCUUUUCCCCCUUUUUUCCCAUUUUCACUCCUUUUCCCACUUUUCCUCAACCUUUUAUUCCCAUUUUUUCCCAUUUUCUUCAAACUUUUAUUCCCAUUUUUCCCCAUUUUUUCCCCAUUCCCUCAACCUUUCCUCCAUUUUUUCCCCAUUUUUCCCCCUUUUUUCCCCAUUUUUCCCACUUUUCUUCAACCUUUUAUUCCCCUUUUUUCCCAUUUUCUCCAUUUUUUCCCAUUUUUCCCCAUUUUCUUCAACCUUUUAUUCCCAUUUUUCCCACUUUUUCCCCAUUUUUUCCCCCUUUUUUCCCCAUUUUUCCCACUUUUCUUCAACCUUUUAUUCCCAUUUUUCACCAUUUUCCCCAUUUCCCCCCAUUUUCCCCCAUUUUUCCCCCUUUCCCCCAUUUUCCCCAUUUUUUGCCACAUUUCCUCAACUUUUAUUCCCAUUUUCCCCCAUUUUUUCCCCAUUUCCUCAACCUUUUAUUCCCAUUUUUCCCAUUUUUUCCCAUUUUCUUCAACCUUUUAUUCCCAUUUUUACCCCUUUUCCCCCUUUUUUCCCCAUUUUCCCACAUUUCCACAACGUUUUAUUCCAAAUUUUCCCCAUUUUUCCCAUUUUCCUUCAUUUUCCCACUUUUCCUCAAUCUUUUAUUCCCAUUUUUCCCCAUUUCCUCAACCUUUUCUCCCUUUUUUCCCCAUUUUUCCCACUUUUCUUCAACCUUUUAUUCCCAUUUUUCCCCAUUUUUCCCACUUUUUCCCCAUUUUUCCCCAUUUUUCCUUAUUUUUCCCCAUUUUCUUCAACCUUUUAUUCCCAUUUUUCCCAUUUUUCCCCAUUUUUCCCCAUUUUUUCCCAUUUUCCCCCAUUUUUCCCAUUUUUCCUCAACCUUUUAUUCCCAUUUUUUCCCCAUUUUCCCCCAUUUUCCCCAUUUUUCCCCUUUUUUCCCCAUUUUUCCUAAACCUUUUAUUCCCAUUUUCCCCAUUUCCCCCCAUUUUUCCCAUUUUUCCCCAUUUUUUCCCAUUUUUCCCCAUUUUUCCCCAUUUUCUUCAACCUUUUUUCCCCAUUUUUCCCAUUUUUCCUCAACCUUUUAUUCCCAUUUUUCCCAUUUUUCCCCAUUUCCCCCCUUUUUUCCCCAUUUUCCCCCCAUUUUUCCCCCAUUUUUCCCCAUUUUUUCUCCAUUUUCCCCAUUUUUCCCCAUUUCCUCAACCUUUUAUUCCCAUUUUUCCCCAUUUUUCCCCAUUUUUCCCCAUUUCCCCCCAUUUUUCCCCAUUUUCCCCAUUUCCCCAACACCUCCAGGCCCAUCCCAAACACAUUUUUUUAUUUCAUAA
RNAcentral lists this long non-coding RNA (5661 nucleotides) under Cyanistes caeruleus (blue tit). Its description in RNAcentral is "lncRNA (ENSCCEG00000020260.1)". The record is from RNAcentral. Lineage: Eukaryota; Metazoa; Chordata; Aves; Passeriformes; Paridae.